RNAcentral lists this ribosomal RNA (536 nucleotides) under Trigonopterus sp. 926 AR-2022a. Its description in RNAcentral is "partial large subunit ribosomal RNA". It matches the Rfam family "Archaeal large subunit ribosomal RNA", at positions 1920 to 2694 of the family's 2987-position model. The record is from RNAcentral. Lineage: Eukaryota; Metazoa; Arthropoda; Insecta; Coleoptera; Curculionidae.
GGCUUGUUGAAGAUAAUUUCAAGUCUAACCUGCCCACUGAGUAGUUGAAUGGCCGCGGUAUAUUGACCGUGCAAAGGUAGCAUAAUCACUAGUUUUUUAAUUGAAAGCUUGAAUGAAAGGUUUGAUGAGAAAAAGACUGUCUCUGUAAAAAUUUAUUAGAAUUUUAUUUUUAAGUUAAAAAGCUUAAAUAUUUAUAGAAGACGAGAAGACCCUAUAGAGUUUAAUAAAUAUAUAGGAAUUAGUAUUAAGGUUUCAAAUACUUGUUUUUUGAAGUAUUUAUUUGGUUGGGGUGACAAAAAAAUUGAGUUAACUUUUUUUAGUACAGUACAUUGAUUUAUGAGUAACUGAUCCUGAUUUUAAGAUUAGAAGAGAAAAUUACCUUAGGGAUAACAGCGUGAUUUUUUUUAGAGCUCUUAUCGAAAAAAAAGAUUGCGACCUCGAUGUUGGAUUAAAAUAAAUUUCUGGUGUAGAAGCUAGCGAAUUAGGUCUGUUCGACCUUUAAAAUUUUACAUGAUCUGAGUUUAAACCGGCGUGAG